GGCCAUAUUACGUUGAAACACCUGUUCGAUCACUGAAUUUAAGCAACGUACAGCCUGGUCAGUACCUAGAUGGGUGACCAUUUGGGAACACCAGGUGCUAUA
Molecule: non-coding RNA, 102 nt
Organism: Acanthosepion pharaonis
Lineage: Eukaryota; Metazoa; Mollusca; Cephalopoda; Sepiida; Sepiidae
Source: the annotation of a GenBank genome assembly